CCUACGGGAGGCAGCAGUAGGGAAUCUUCGGCAAUGGACGGAAGUCUGACCGAGCAACGCCGCGUGAGUGAAGAAGGUUUUCGGAUCGUAAAGCUCUGUUGUAAGAGAAGAACGAGUGUGAGAGUGGAAAGUUCACACUGUGACGGUAUCUUACCAGAAAGGGACGGCUAACUACGUGCCAGCAGCCGCGGUAAUACGUAGGUCCCGAGCGUUGUCCGGAUUUAUUGGGCGUAAAGCGAGCGCAGGCGGUUAGAUAAGUCUGAAGUUAAAGGCUGUGGCUUAACCAUAGUACGCUUUGGAAACUGUUUAACUUGAGUGCAAGAGGGGAGAGUGGAAUUCCAUGUGUAGCGGUGAAAUGCGUAGAUAUAUGGAGGAACACCGGUGGCGAAAGCGGCUCUCUGGCUUGUAACUGACGCUGAGGCUCGAAAGCGUGGGGAGCAAACAGGAUUAGAUACCCUGGUAGUCCACGCCGUAAACGAUGAGUGCUAGGUGUUAGACCCUUUCCGGGGCUUAGUGCCGUAGCUAACGCAUUAAGCACUCCGCCUGGGGAGUACGACCGCAAGGUUGAAACUCAAAGGAAUUGACGG
RNAcentral lists this ribosomal RNA (587 nucleotides) under uncultured bacterium. Its description in RNAcentral is "bacterial SSU rRNA". It matches the Rfam family "Bacterial small subunit ribosomal RNA", at positions 338 to 916 of the family's 1533-position model. The record is from RNAcentral.